This 636-nucleotide ribosomal RNA is filed under the name Triticum aestivum (bread wheat). RNAcentral describes it as "partial small subunit ribosomal RNA". Lineage: Eukaryota; Viridiplantae; Streptophyta; Magnoliopsida; Poales; Poaceae. The record is from RNAcentral.
AUGUGCAUACCAAAAGUUAGGGGAGGUAUGGGAUUUAGGGAUCUCCAUGCGUUUAACUUGGCGAUGUUGGCAAAACAAAGCUGGAGGCUGUUAACACAUCCUGAAACAUUAUGUGCCAAAGUUCUGCGGUCUAAAUAUUUUCCUGAUGGGAAUCUUCUUAAAGCAGGACCCAAAAAGGGGUCAUCUUAUACAUGGCAAAGCAUCUUGGCGGGGCUACAGACUUUCCGAAGAGGUCACAUUUGGCGAAUUGGUUCCGGUGAGAGAAUUAAUAUAUGGGAUUAUCAUUGGAUCCCUUCUAGCCACACUAGGAUGGUCAUAACAAGGAGGGGUAAUUCCUUGCUCCGGACAGUCGACGAACUAAUGGUUCCAGGAAUUGCUAGUUGGGAUGAGGCACUUAUGAGAAGCAUCUUCCUACCUCUGGAUGCCGAGAGAAUCUUAAGAAUCCCACUGUCAGAAAAUAUUGUGGAGGACUUCGUCGCAUGGAAUAACACCAAAUCUUUCUCUUUCACUGUCGAUCGGCGUAUUAUGUUGAAUGGGAACACCAAUUUGGAUCAAGAUGUUCAAGCAUCUAGGGCACAUCAAAUAUUAAUCCGGUUUGGGAAACGGUUUGGAAACUGGAGAUACCAAGUAAAGUGA